GGGUAUAGCUCAGUGGUAGAAGUGGAUGCCUAGCAUGCACAAGGUCCUGGGUUCAAUCCCCAGUAAACCUA
Molecule: transfer RNA, 71 nt
Organism: Camelus ferus (Wild Bactrian camel)
Lineage: Eukaryota; Metazoa; Chordata; Mammalia; Artiodactyla; Camelidae
Rfam family: tRNA
About the family: Transfer RNA (tRNA) molecules are approximately 80 nucleotides in length. Their secondary structure includes four short double-helical elements and three loops (D, anti-codon, and T loops). Further hydrogen bonds mediate the characteristic L-shaped molecular structure. tRNAs have two regions of fundamental functional importance: the anti-codon, which is responsible for specific mRNA codon recognition, and the 3' end, to which the tRNAs corresponding amino acid is attached (by aminoacyl-tRNA synthetases). tRNAs cope with the degeneracy of the genetic code in two manners: having more than one tRNA (with a specific anti-codon) for a particular amino acid; and 'wobble' base-pairing, i.e. permitting non-standard base-pairing at the 3rd anti-codon position.
Source: Rfam